UUGGAGGGCAAGUCUGGUGCCAGCAGCCGCGGUAAUUCCAGCUCCAAUAGCGUAUAUUAAAGUUGUUGCAGUUAAAAAGCUCGUAGUUGAAUUUCGAGAUCAGUACGCUGGUCGUGCCUUCGGAAUGCACUGGUGUCACUGGUUUCUCCCUUCUGAAGAACUGUCAUGCCAUUCAGUUGGUGUGGCGGGGAAUCAGGACUGUUACUUUGAAAAAAUUAGAGUGUUUAAAGCAGGCUCGCGCUUGAAUACAUUAGCAUGGAAUAAUGAAAUAGGACGUUUGACCCUAUUUUGUUGGUUUCUAGGAUUGACGUAAUGAUUAAUAGGGAUAGUUGGGGGCAUUAGUAUUCAAUUGUCAGAGGUGAAAUUCUUGGAUUUAUUGAAGACCAACUACUGCGAAAGCAUUUGCCAAGGAUGUUUUCAUUAAUCAAGAACGAAAGUUAGGGGAUCGAAGACGAUCAGAUACCGUCGUAGUCUUAACCAUAAACUAUGCCGACUAGGGAUCGGAUGAUGUUAAUUUUUUAAUGACUCAUUCGGCGCCUUACGGGAAAC
RNAcentral lists this ribosomal RNA (549 nucleotides) under uncultured Glomeromycotina. RNAcentral describes it as "SSU rRNA". It matches the Rfam family "Eukaryotic small subunit ribosomal RNA", at positions 548 to 1098 of the family's 1831-position model. Lineage: Eukaryota; Fungi; Glomeromycota. The record is from RNAcentral.